Long non-coding RNA from Anolis carolinensis (green anole), 756 nucleotides. RefSeq lists it as uncharacterized. The transcript has 3 exons. Lineage: Eukaryota; Metazoa; Chordata; Lepidosauria; Squamata; Anolidae. The record is from RefSeq and is a predicted model, not a curated record.
GACAUCACUGAAGAGGGGUCAUUGGAAUAGAACAGUUUCGGAAUAAAACAACACGUGACCUUUUUCAAGGGGAAACUCAAGGCGUUCCCCUCAGCGGGUUCCAUGGUGUAAUGGUUAGCACUCUGGACUCUGAAUCCAGCGAUCCGAGUUCAAAUCUCGGUGGAACCUAACUUUUGAGAGGGGUGGGAGAGGAUUUUAAAAAAUAUAUAGGAUCCUUCUAUCUACAGUUCCAUUUCUGAAAGUCAGAGGCAUUGCAUGGGAGGAGCAACGUGACGAAACAAAGGCUGGAAGGAAUUACCUUGUCUCUAUACUAAAGCAGUGGGAGGCGCUGCAAACCAUGUGACUGACUCCGCUAAUUAAGGUGAUUAACUACAACAUUCACACUGGCCUCCAACGGACAAAGAGUUCUUCUCUCACCCUGGACUUUCCACAGAUAUAUAUAAACCUUCCUUGCUUAGUUUAUCCAUACCUCACAACCUCUGAGGAUGCCUGCCAUAGAUGUGGGCAAAACGUCAGAAGAGAAUACUUCUGGAACAUGGCCAUACAGCCCGGAAAACACACAACAACCCUGACUCUGUGAUAGUUUAGAAUGUUCAGUUUUAAAAAGGAUGAACAUUAGAAGUCAGUUGAGCCUUGAGUCAUCUUGAAUGUUGAAGUCUGUUAGAGCGCUGAAGGUAAUGUUAGAAGUUAGGAACUGUUGAGACUUGUUUAUCUUUUAAAGUAGACUCAUAUUAAAGAUAGCUGCAUAAAGCAAUA